This is a long non-coding RNA of Eptesicus fuscus (big brown bat), 656 nucleotides long. RefSeq lists it as uncharacterized. The transcript is spliced from 3 exons. NCBI's taxonomy places the organism in Eukaryota, Metazoa, Chordata, Mammalia, Chiroptera, Vespertilionidae. The record is from RefSeq and is a predicted model, not a curated record.
UGCAGUGAAACAUACAUGUGCAGUAGGCAGAGCGCCUGCCCGGGAGUGCAGCCGGCGUUCCCCCGCGCGCCCGGCGACCGCUCCGCUCCCGCAGCCGCCUCAGCCCCAGCCGCCGCCGCUGGCUCCGGGCGCGGAACAAGAGCCGAGGGCGAGCGCGAGCGCACGGCCCGCGAGCGCGGGGAGGGCAGGAAGCGCGUCAUCACUCAGGGACGGCGCGGCCCCGCGAGUCUCCGCACGGCUCCGGUUUGGACGCGGCUCCCGGCCGGGCCAGUGCUGGCGCUCCCGCGCCCCUCCUGGGUCUCUGCCCGCGGCCGGUGCUGGAGGGUCCGCGGGGGAAGGCGACGCGCCGGCCGAGCUGUCGCGGGAAGAGGGGCGCGCAGGGUGACCCCGGCUCCCCAGAAUUGGACCGCUGCUGUUCCUGGCUGGAUAGGGCCCAAUGGCUUCUCAUCAAGCAUCUCAAAAAUCAGUUCUUUUCCCAAAAAACUGGAUUUCAAGAUUUUCUGUCACUUAAUUCAACCUUCUCAAAGCAUCCCCAUGUUCUUCCACAGCCUGCCAAUGUGAUGUGGUUUAAUGCUAGACGGUAAGUCCCAUGACAGCAAGGACCUUAUCUGCAUCUUCGUGCAUACAAGAGGGCCUGGCACAUAGCGGGUGCUCAA